ACAUGCAAGUCGAACGCAGUAGCAAUACUGAGUGGCGAACGGGUGAGUAUAAUGUGGGUAUCUGCCUUUUGGUUUGGAAUAACACGAGGAAACUUGUGCUAAUACCGGAUAAGCCCUUACGGGGAAAGUUUUAACGCCGAAAGAUGAGCCCGCACUUGAUUAGCUAGUUGGUAGGGUAAAGGCCUACCAAGGCUACGAUCAAUAGCUGAUCUGAGAGGAUGAUCAGCCACAUUGGGACUGAGACACGGCCCAAACUCCUACGGGAGGCAGCAGUGGGGAGUCUUGCACAAUGGGGGAAACCCUGAUGCAGCGAUGCCGCGUGAGUGAAGAAGGCCCUUGGGUUGUAAAGCUCUUUCGUCGGGGAAGAAAAUGACUGUACCCGAAUAAGAAGGUCCGGCUAACUUCGUGCCAGCAGCCGCGGUAAUACGAAGGGACCUAGCGUAGUUCGGAAUUACUGGGCUUAAAGAGCACGUAGGUGGUUAGAAAAGUUGGUGGUGAAAUCCCAAGGCUUAACCUUGGAACUGCCACCAAAACUUUUUAACUAGAGUAUGAUAGAGGUAAGCGGAAUUUCUAGUGUAGAGGUGAAAUUCGUAGAUAUUAGAAAGAACACCAAUUGCGAAGGCAGCUUUCUGGAUCAUUACUGACACUGAGGUGCGAAAGCAUGGGUAGCGAAGAGGAUUAGAUACCCUCGUAGUCCAUGCUGUAAACGAUGUGUGCUAGACGUUGGGAAUUUAUUUUUCAGUGUCGCAGCAAAAGCGUUAAGCACACCGCCUGGGGAGUACGACC
Molecule: ribosomal RNA, 786 nt
Filed under: uncultured Pelagibacteraceae bacterium
Lineage: Bacteria; Pseudomonadati; Pseudomonadota; Alphaproteobacteria; Candidatus Pelagibacterales; Candidatus Pelagibacteraceae
Description: bacterial SSU rRNA
Rfam family: Bacterial small subunit ribosomal RNA
Source: RNAcentral